RNAcentral lists this ribosomal RNA (253 nucleotides) under uncultured bacterium. RNAcentral describes it as "partial 16S ribosomal RNA". It matches the Rfam family "Bacterial small subunit ribosomal RNA", at positions 524 to 776 of the family's 1533-position model. The record is from RNAcentral.
UACGAAGGGGGCUAGCGUUGUUCGGAUUUACUGGGCGUAAAGGGUACGUAGGCGGCUUGACAAGUUGGGGGUGAAAUCCCGGGGCUCAACCCCGGAACUGCCUCCAAAACUGUCAGGCUAGAGAUCGAGAGAGGUGAGUGGAAUUCCUAGUGUAGAGGUGAAAUUCGUAGAUAUUAGGAGGAACACCGGUGGCGAAGGCGGCUCACUGGCUCGAUACUGACGCUCAGGUACGAAAGCGUGGGGAGCAAACAGG